RNAcentral lists this ribosomal RNA (263 nucleotides) under uncultured bacterium. Its description in RNAcentral is "partial 16S ribosomal RNA". It matches the Rfam family "Bacterial small subunit ribosomal RNA", at positions 793 to 1055 of the family's 1533-position model. The record is from RNAcentral.
GUCCACGCCGUAAACGAUGAAUACUCGUUGUUGGAGGUAUUGACCCCUUCAGUGACUAAGCUAACGCGUUAAGUAUUCCGCCUGGGAAGUACGGUCGCAAGAUUAAAACUCAAAGAAAUUGACGGGGGCCCGCACAAGCGGUGGAGCAUGUGGUUUAAUUCGAUGCAACGCGAAGAACCUUACCUGGGUUUGAAAUAGUUAAGAAAAGUACGAGAAAUCGUCUUCCCGCAAGGGCUUAAUUACAGGUGCUGCAUGGCUGUCGU